CAUGUGUCGAUUACUCCAGGUCUCAGUGUUCCUAUGUAUCAGUGUCUCAGUGCCCCAUGUCUCCCAGUGUCCCCUAGUGUCAUGUCCCCAGGUCUCCCAGUGAUCCUAUGUAUCACAGUGUCUGAAUGCUCCAUGUCUCCCUGUGUCCCCAUGUAUCCCAGGGUCCCCAUGUCACUAGGACACUAGGAAGACGGGGAGACCUGGGG
Non-coding RNA from Pelobates cultripes (western spadefoot toad), 206 nucleotides. Lineage: Eukaryota; Metazoa; Chordata; Amphibia; Anura; Pelobatidae. The record is from the annotation of a GenBank genome assembly.